Molecule: non-coding RNA, 1080 nt
Organism: Chrysemys picta bellii (western painted turtle)
Lineage: Eukaryota; Metazoa; Chordata; Testudines; Emydidae
Source: RefSeq, a predicted model, not a curated record
GUCCAUGGUGGUGCCAGCGUCACUCUGGUGCUGCAAAAUCUAAUACAGGCUCCUCUCUCCUGCCAGCAAACUGAAGGCACCUCUGGAACUGGAAUCAGGCCUCCUGCGAACUAUCCUGUACAGCGUUUUUACCAUGCGCCCAGGGAAGGACACCGCUCAUUUCCGGACUCUACUGGACAUCAUGCUGACGGAAACCCCCACCAUAGACAAGCUGCAGCAUCUUUUGGAGGGAGACCCUGAGUACAGGAGGAUCCUCACGGAAUCCGCUCUUCUGUCCUAUGGGCACUGCAGUUCCCGGAGGAACAUCUAAAUAGUGCCACAAAGAACUGAAUACCAUGGAAUACCGAAUAACAUUAGAAGUUUUGAAUGAUGUUUUGUCGCAGCUGGCUUCACUAUCCACGCUGGUCCAGAAACGGGGCCUUACACCUCUUGAAGCAUUUCACCUUGCCUGAGGUAAAUUGAACAAGAUCAGAAGACAGUACCUUGGAGAUUCAGUCUUAUGGAGUGACAAAGUUAAGGCUCUCUUAGAUAUGAGCUCCAGAGGAUGAAGUCCAGGAGUGGUCCACUUUUGAUUGUGCAGCAAUAGUUAAGUGUGACUUCAAUUUUGACUUCAUCAGUGUGACUUCAUCAGUUAAGUGUGACUUCAUCAGAUCAAAUCCCUAAAUUAAAAAUACAAAGACUGUCUUGCUGAAGAGAUUGUUAUAAUCAAUCAGUACAAUGACUUCAAGUUUGCAGUAGCCGAAAGAAUAAAAAGCCAAUUGGUUUUAAGUUUCCUGGAUAUGGUGACAUUUGCUCACCAGAAUGAACAGUUUCACGAUCUUGCAAACUGAUGGAUAUUGGAGGAACAUUCCUAGCAUCAAGUGCAGACUGUGAGCGUAGCUUUAGCUUAAUGAACACUCAAAAAAAUAAACUACGGAAUCAUUUACAAGUAGAUCAUUUGGACAUGCUGAUGUGUAUUAAGAGUUACCAGCUUGAUGGAGGACUGUUAGAUCUGGACAGAGUUUAUAUUGAAUGGGCAAAUAAAAAAGAUCGCAGGGAAAAACAGUAAGGUUUAGUUUAGCAGUCUUUGACAUUUCGACC